Molecule: non-coding RNA, 28 nt
Filed under: Mus musculus (house mouse)
Lineage: Eukaryota; Metazoa; Chordata; Mammalia; Rodentia; Muridae
Source: RNAcentral
UAAUUAAGUGUUCCUCCUAGAGCCCUGC